GUCUCAGUAGCUCAGCUGGAUAGAGCAUACGCCUUCUAAGCGUACGGUCGGGGGUUCGAAUCCCUCCUGGGACGUCA
This 77-nucleotide transfer RNA is filed under the name Lysinibacillus composti. Its description in RNAcentral is "tRNA-Arg". It matches the Rfam family "tRNA". Rfam says of the family: Transfer RNA (tRNA) molecules are approximately 80 nucleotides in length. Their secondary structure includes four short double-helical elements and three loops (D, anti-codon, and T loops). Lineage: Bacteria; Bacillati; Bacillota; Bacilli; Caryophanales; Bacillaceae. The record is from RNAcentral. RNAcentral also lists the same sequence under 1 other name.